CAUCUGCACCUUCUGCCUCAGCGACCAGCGGCAGCGGCACCGAGAAGGAGAGAAGCCACGCUCUGGUCCAGCCUUAAGCGGACACUGAACAAGCUGAGAAUCUCGCGCCAGUCUUGCCCUGGUUGUACAACUGCUCUGGGUUUAUUCAGGGUCUUUUGCAACUGAAACUGAACGCUGUUGAGACAGUUGCACCUGGUGCGGCAGCUAUUUUAGGGUGAGAAACGUUAAACCUCAGCGGCCAAGCCUGAUCCUGAUGUCUCCUAAACCUGUGUCACAUGAUGAAACUUGAACUUCCAAACGCACAGUGACUCCUGUCAAGGGAAGCUGUCAUGAACACGUCGUGCUGUACGCCUUCAGCCCAGCCUGGGCUGCACGCAGCACUGCCGCCCACCCCUCCAGCUGCACCCUAAUUCUUGGGGUGGGGGGCUGAUACCGACAGCUGACAUGCUCGAGAGGUUUGAACGAUGCUGGGAGAUUAUUUUAAGGUGUUCACAGAAAGUCGGAAAACUUCCAGUGAAAGCAGCACCGUUCCUGUGCUACAGGCAGAGCAGCACAUGGACACGGGCCGUAGCCAGGACAGGAGAGGAAAGUGGAGAAGCGUUGUGUAAGCGAUGCUCUUUUCUUAUUAACGGCGCGAGUCGUGCCAGUCCUUUAAAUAGCAUGGGAUAUUCCUAAAGCUGUCUGGCAAGCACGGAGUAGGGAGGGUUUCCUAAGAGCUCUCUACAUUUACCCAUCACCCAGGUCAUUCCCAAAUUGUGCCUGUACAUCACUGAUGUCCACUUACCUCCCCUCCAUUUAUUAACCUGUAUAUUUUUUUUUUUUAAGUCUAAAAAGCAAAUAUGCAUGUUAUG
Molecule: long non-coding RNA, 851 nt
Organism: Athene cunicularia (burrowing owl)
Lineage: Eukaryota; Metazoa; Chordata; Aves; Strigiformes; Strigidae
Exons: 3
Source: RefSeq, a predicted model, not a curated record